Pseudonocardia sp. HH130629-09 is the source of this 69-nucleotide non-coding RNA. It matches the Rfam family "ASpks TB sRNA". NCBI's taxonomy places the organism in Bacteria, Bacillati, Actinomycetota, Actinomycetes, Pseudonocardiales, Pseudonocardiaceae. The record is from Rfam.
CUUCACCGAGCCCAGCCAGAGCGGCCGCUCGCGGCGCUGCCCGUAGGUGGCCAGCAGUGCCUGGGCCUC